Oncorhynchus mykiss (rainbow trout) is the source of this 2214-nucleotide non-coding RNA. Lineage: Eukaryota; Metazoa; Chordata; Actinopteri; Salmoniformes; Salmonidae. The record is from RefSeq and is a predicted model, not a curated record.
AUAGUUUGACCGCAUAUGUUCAAUAAAUCCAACACGCUGCAAGGCAAACGCAGCUCUCAUUGAUUAAUUUAAUUCUGGUGUACCAAAAUGCAAUGACUAUGUCGGUGUGUUCAAAGCGGGAGUGUUAGAAAAUGUUUAUGAACUCCUAUACACCGCAUUCAUCCACUCAGAGGACCAAACACCAGAUAAUGACAUGAAUUAAGGAAAGAGACAAAUGUUGCGGCAAGGAAUCAAAACAACCACUUUAACAGUGACAACGAAAUGGCCCUGAAGUUGAGAGUUCACCUGUUCUGUCCUGGUUACAAGCUUCUGAGAGUUUGCUAUUGGACCGUUUGCUGUUCGGACUCCGAUGGUGAACAGUGGUGCCAAUGCCAACCAAUGGAUGCAAAGUAAAUCAUCCCUUAAUCUGUUCACACAGCCUCUGUGCUGAUCUUGUGGGACUGUCUUUUUAUUCCAAAAUGUGCCUCUUGGAAAAUGUAUUAUGGAAAACAAAUGAUCAUCUUGGAAAAUAAGUAGUCUAUGGCAAAACGAAGGCAAUUUCAUAAUUCAACCACGAUGGUGACAUUACAUCAUCUCUAGUGUUGUCAUGGAGAUUAGAGCUGAUCUAUCGAUAUCGUGUGACAAUCCCACCGAUAACCGAUAUUCAAAAAAUGUUAGUCUCAUGCUUAUCAUUCUCAUGAUGUGUCAUUAUUGUCACUGUGUAAGAAAUCAACAUUUUAAACUAAUUUCUUGGACAAUUGCGCUUUGGGAUGGCAAUUUAAGAGAACUCAGUGUGGAACAACGGCACUUUUUAAUUUCCUGCUGUAAUUGGCAGAUAUAUCGGUAUUGGUACAUUUUGUCCUCACAAAAAUCACAAUCUGACCCACAAACCCAAUUUCAGUCGAAUUCUAAUGAAGAUUGGACUAGGACCCAUUGGCCCAAUAAUAGGCCUAUGUUCAUAGGCUGCUCAGUAUGACAGGGUUGGUAGAGUAUAGCAGCCUAUACAACAUAAUGGCGGUUUGUUGAAUGUGUCGAAUGGCUCAACAACAGUCAUUGAGCAGCUUCUGCUUUGAUCUUUUCCUUUCAUUAGGACUUUACUUAAAUUGUAUUUGUAUUUAUUGUAUUUAUUUAAAUUGUAGUAGACCAAGGUAACCACCAAAGAAAGUAAUAAAAUGUAACUCAUUCAACAUUGCAUACAUGGAGGUCCUCUCAGUCUGGGCCAGAUUAUGCUCCAUCUCUAAACUCUCAGUGUGAUGCAAUAUGAGGUGAAAGGCUGACAUCUGGUGGUCAUGCAGUGUAAAUACAUUAUGUACUGAAAGAAGUGCAGUCAGGAAAGUCAUGGGGAACUAUUUAAUUGGGCACCACACAAGGCAACAUAGACUUUGGCUUGUUGUCAUUACCUCACUUAGAAAUGUGUUUUGUUUAAAGACAUAGCUGUUUCUUGACUCAUGUUUGCUACCUCUGUUUCCAUACAGUAUGCUACUGUACAUUGUGAUGUAUUGAACCAAUGGCAGGCUUACUUGGACCUUAUUAUCAAGCUGAAUGCAGUCCCUUUAACAUCAUAUCCAUGAACUGUUGUUAUACUCUAGAACAGAUAUAUAGUAAGUAGCCUUCCACAAGCCAGAUCAGCUCAUAGUAGCAGGAGCCUGUCCUGUUUGAUGAGGCAGCUUGAUGUGAAGGAUUGUGGUGAGGCAGCUUCAUCAUUAAAGGGUUGUGGAUUUGUAUCAUUUCCCUCUAGUGGCUGAACAAAGCCAUGCAUCUCUUUCUCAUCAGUAGCUCACAUAGAGCAACGCUAGGCCAGCCACAUCACAUAGGCUCAGGAUCUCUAAGAGAUAUCCUAACUCCAUUUGACAUCUCUUUGUUUCUCCUAUCACCGUGGAUUACCCCUGACAGUAUGACUGUGGACUGACUCCUUAAUAGAGGAAGCCAAAGGACUUUACCCAGAGAUCUGACAGACAGACAUACGGAUAUACUGUAGCUAGCAAAUAGGAUUUCUGUGGCUUAUCUCAUAAACCAAUUUCCUGUGCUUUUAGCCAAGAGUACAGUUAAUUUUUCAUAGCAUAGGCCUGUUUGUGGCUGAAGCAGAGUAAAUGUAACAUCCAUUUGCCUACAAUAUCCUGGGCCUGUCACUGCAGAGCAGGGCUUAAUUUCAUGCACUGAUACAUGCAGCCAUCUGCGCAGACUGACACGCAGGGAGUGGGACACACACGCACGCACUGACGCAGGUGCACACAC